RNAcentral lists this ribosomal RNA (253 nucleotides) under uncultured bacterium. RNAcentral describes it as "partial 16S ribosomal RNA". It matches the Rfam family "Bacterial small subunit ribosomal RNA", at positions 524 to 777 of the family's 1533-position model. The record is from RNAcentral.
UACGGAGGGGGCGAGCGUUAUUCGGAAUUAUUGGGCGUAAAGGGCGCGUAGGCGGUCCGACAAGUCAAAGGUGAAAUCCCUCGGCUCAACUGAGGAACUGCCUUUGAAACUGUACGGCUUGAGGCCGGGAGGGGUAGCGGAAUUCCCAGUGUAGCGGUGAAAUGCGUAGAUACUGGGAGGAACACCAGUGGCGAAGGCGGCUACCUGGACCGGUUCUGACGCUGAGGCGCGAAAGCGUGGGUAGCAAACAGGA